GAUGGAUGUAGUCCCCAGGAUCCUUCCACAGGUGCUGUUGCCCCAUGUCAGACCCCAGCAGUAGCACCCCUGGAUGGGGGCCCCGCUCCUCAGCUGGCAGAGGGAGGUGUUGGUUACUUUCCACACUCGAAACCCUCUGCGUACACUGCUUCAAACAGCUUCUGGAUGGCUGAAUAAGCACAGAAUCUGCACAACCGUACUUGGAAGAGCUGCACAUCAAACCAAGCCAGGAAGAGUUUUUUGCCAGCCAUGAGUGAAGGAAGGAAAAGCCAAAGGAAAGGAGGAUAACCAGAGGCACGAAGGAGGUACAGAAACUCUUGCAUAAUGCUUCCCUCCCCCUUGAAGGUUUGGCUUCUCCAGGUUUGCCAGGUAGACCCCACGUCUGUGGCUCAGGGACUUUCCUUCAGGCCACGGUGUGUCUCCACGACACCCGCAGCUCGGACUGAUCCUCCAGACUCCUCCACACCUCCAUUUUGAGGCCUUCAGGCUGUGUUUUAUCCAACUGUGAAAGAGCAGCUGUGAGCACAGCGUGCAAAGCAGCAAGGCCAGGAGCAAGCGUUGCAAGAGGUUUGAAGGAAAAGGGCUGGUUAUAAGUAGCUGGCCUUUACUAGGUGGUUUACGCCAUGUCUCCCACGUGAGUACGUGUUACGCUCAGUCAAAUAUCGUUAAAGGCUUAACCACACGCACUGGUCACCAUAUUUGCCUUCAAAACUGGAGCAAGACCUCUCCCCUCAGGGAGGGGACAUAGCUGCUGUUAAGCUGAUAUAUCCCCUUUAACGCCUAAUGGAGGCUGCAGACAACUGCUCUGAGCUUAGCUGGACUGUGGGAAUCAGGUAGGCCGUUUCAGAGAAAAGUGGCUGGUGCCUUCAAAGUGGAGUAUGGGUUGAUAAGUGGGGAGCAGAGACAGCAUUUGUAGCUCCUACAGGGUAAUUAUCACUUGUGGAAAACUGAGGAGUUAGCUGGUGGGAGGGAAAUUAUAACCUAGCAAAAAAACCAAUAUCUCUCCCGAUCCUCCAGUCUUUAGUGUCCAAUAACGUUUGGUUUGGUUCAGUUCCAAGACUUAGCUUUUGAAGGUGUUUGGAGAAAUCCCCUGACAGACCUCCACCACAACUGCAAAGCACAGGCUGCUGCAUCUACCUUUUUCUUUCUUUUUUUUUUUUUUUCCCAAAGAUGUACAAAUAUUGGCGAUGCUUCACAGUGAGAGGCUGAAAGAAAACAAACUGCUUCGUUUGGGAGAGCCAGUUGUUGUGAGAUGAGAAGUGACUUAAUUACAGUAAGUCCCUUUACAGCAA
Molecule: long non-coding RNA, 1292 nt
Filed under: Struthio camelus australis
Lineage: Eukaryota; Metazoa; Chordata; Aves; Struthioniformes; Struthionidae
Description: lncRNA (ENSSCUG00000018321.1)
Source: RNAcentral